UGUGUUAACUGUACUGUAUGUAUGCUAAACCUUUUUCUGUUGAGUUUUUGUUAAGCUCCCUGGCUAGGACUUGCCAGUGGAAGGCAAGUAUUUUCAAGGGGGAGCAUGUAACCCUGUGAAGUUACACAGGCUGCAUUAUCUGAAAUGCCCAGUAGAUGGCAGAUGGACUCAGUAUGCUGUUAAUAAAACAUUGAGCUUUGGUCACAUGAUUGUGACAUCAUCGAAGGUCCUGUAAGCUUUCCAGAAGUUACUACGUGCUCAGCCAGAAAAGGACAUGUGUCUGAGAAUGUGAGAGACUGCAGCACAGAGAUGGAACCUUGCUGAGAGAACCUGCUUCACCCAAGAUCACACCUGCUGAGAGAGGGGCCUGCUGGCAAAGACAAGCGCUGAGUCCAGACGUCUGGUGAAUCCAGAGAGAGGAGACUGCUGCUGACCGGCCUGGCUAAUCGUGUUGUGAGGAAAAGCGGGUAACGUAAACGUGCGUGAAAAAGCGUAUGAUGUAAUUUACAGUACUAGAACCGCCCAGUGACUGACCAGUGUCUAUAAAGCAUUCAUCAUCACUAUUUGAACUUUACAAGUGAAUGACUACAAUGGCUACUGGAAGUACGUCAAAUUUCAUACACAUAUUUGAGAAAGAUGAGGACGACAUCAUAUUAACUUAAUCAAUGAAUGCCAUAAACGAAUGGCCAAGUACCAGAAGGAGCAAGAAAAGGAUCGAUUGGCUCUACAUAAGCUGGUGCGGUGGGUUUCAAAAAAGGUUCGGAGGAUGGAUCAGAGGAUCCGUGAAAUAAAACAUAUGCAUUUCAUGAAAAAAAAUAUAUAUAUAUAACCCAAAACUAUUAUUGUUAAAAUGUUAUUAAAAACAUUUAUCUGCCACAGACUUGAUGUGUCGAAUCUUGAAAGUUCUAUCAGUCAAUGUAAUGCGUCAUGUGUAGCUAAUUUUGGACUUCUUUUUCUUGUUUAAAUUUUUUUUUUUAUUUAAACAAAAAAAAUUGAAAGUCAAAUAGUGUAAUUUUUUUCAUGUUAGCC
This is a long non-coding RNA of Bufo gargarizans (Asiatic toad), 1029 nucleotides long. RefSeq lists it as uncharacterized. The transcript is spliced from 3 exons. The record is from RefSeq and is a predicted model, not a curated record. NCBI's taxonomy places the organism in Eukaryota, Metazoa, Chordata, Amphibia, Anura, Bufonidae.